UACGGAGGGUGCGAGCGUUGUCCGGAAUCAUUGGGCGUAAAGGGCGCGUAGGUGGCCCGCCAAGCGUGCGGUGAAAGCUCGGGGCUCAACCCCGAGUCGGCCGUGCGAACUGGUGGGCUCGAGCACUGUAGAGGCAGGCGGAAUUCCGGGUGUAGCGGUGGAAUGCGUAGAGAUCCGGAAGAACACCGGUGGCGAAGGCGGCCUGCUGGGCAGUAGCUGACACUGAGGCGCGACAGCGUGGGGAGCAAACAGG
Molecule: ribosomal RNA, 253 nt
Filed under: uncultured bacterium
Lineage: Bacteria
Description: partial 16S ribosomal RNA
Rfam family: Bacterial small subunit ribosomal RNA
Source: RNAcentral